This 249-nucleotide ribosomal RNA is filed under the name uncultured organism. RNAcentral describes it as "partial 16S ribosomal RNA". It matches the Rfam family "Bacterial small subunit ribosomal RNA", at positions 355 to 621 of the family's 1533-position model. The record is from RNAcentral.
UAGGGAAUCUUGCACAAUGGGGGAAACCCUGAUGCAGCGACGCCGCGUGAGCGAUGAAGCCUUUCGGGGUGUAAAGCUCUUACGCCAGGGACGAUGAUGACGGUACCUGGAGUAGCAGCUGCGGCUAAUUACGCGACAGCAGCCGCGGUAAUAUGUAGGCAGGAAGCGGUGUUCGGACUUACUGGGCGAAACGCGACGGUGGGAGGUUGUUUAAGUCUGCUGUUAAGGCGGGCGGCUGAACGGCAUCUC